RNAcentral lists this transfer RNA (61 nucleotides) under Ictidomys tridecemlineatus (thirteen-lined ground squirrel). RNAcentral's name for it is "Spermophilus tridecemlineatus (thirteen-lined ground squirrel) tRNA". It matches the Rfam family "tRNA", at positions 6 to 65 of the family's 71-position model. Rfam says of the family: Transfer RNA (tRNA) molecules are approximately 80 nucleotides in length. Their secondary structure includes four short double-helical elements and three loops (D, anti-codon, and T loops). RNAcentral also lists the same sequence under 1 other name. The record is from Rfam by way of RNAcentral. Lineage: Eukaryota; Metazoa; Chordata; Mammalia; Rodentia; Sciuridae.
UGUAGCUCAGUGGUAAAGCACUUGCCCCACAUGCAUGAAGCACUGAGUUCGAUCCUCAGCA